CCUACGGGAGGCUGCAGUGGGGAAUAUUGCACAAUGGGGGAAACCCUGAUGCAGCGACGCCGCGUGAGUGAAGAAGUAAUUCGGUAUGUAAAGCUCUAUUAGCAGGGAAGAAAAUGACGGUACCUGAGUAAGAAGACCCGGCUAACUACGUGCAAGCAGCAGCGGUAAUACGUAGGGGGCAAGCGUUAUCCGGAUUUACUGGGUGUAAAGGGGGCGUAGACGGCAGUGCAAGUCUGGAGUGAAAGGCGGGGGCUCAACCCCCGGACUGCACUGGAAACUGUACGUCUGGAGUGCAGGAGAGGUAAGCGGAAUUCCUAGUGUAGCGGUGAAAUGCGUAGAUAUUAGGAGGAACACCAGUGGCGAAGGCGGCUUACUGGACUGUAACUGACGUUGAGGCGCGAAAGCGUGGGGAGCAAACAGGAUUAGAUACCCGAGUAGUC
Molecule: ribosomal RNA, 440 nt
Filed under: uncultured bacterium
Lineage: Bacteria
Description: partial 16S ribosomal RNA
Rfam family: Bacterial small subunit ribosomal RNA
Source: RNAcentral